Molecule: ribosomal RNA, 430 nt
Filed under: uncultured bacterium
Lineage: Bacteria
Description: bacterial SSU rRNA
Rfam family: Bacterial small subunit ribosomal RNA
Source: RNAcentral
UCGGGAAUAUUGGUCAAUGGGGGAAACCCUGAACCAGCAACUCCGCGUGAGGGAUGAAGGCCUUCGGGUCGUAAACCUCUGUCAGAAGGGAAGAAAAUGGCCGAGUCGAAUAGGCUCGGUUACUGACGGUACCUUCAAAGGAAGCACCGGCUAACUCCGUGCCAGCAGCCGCGGUAAUACGGAGGGUGCAAGCGUUGUUCGGAAUUAUUGGGCGUAAAGCGGGUGUAGGCGGCUUUGCAAGUCGGGUGUGAAAUCCCUGGGCUCAACCCAGGAACUGCAUUCGAUACUGCAUCGCUAGAGUCCCGGAGAGGAUGGCGGAAUUCCAGGUGUAGAGGUGAAAUUCGUAGAUAUCUGGAGGAACACCAGUGGCGAAGGCGGCCAUCUGGACGGUGACUGACGCUCAGACCCGAAAGCGUGGGGAGCAAACAGG